Molecule: ribosomal RNA, 465 nt
Filed under: uncultured bacterium
Lineage: Bacteria
Description: partial 16S ribosomal RNA
Rfam family: Bacterial small subunit ribosomal RNA
Source: RNAcentral
CCUACGGGGGGCAGCAGUGGGGAAUAUUGCGCAAUGGGCGAAAGCCUGACGCAGCGACGCCGCGUGAGGGAUGAAGGUCUUCGGAUCGUAAACCUCUGUCAGCAGGGAAGAACGGUCACUGUGCUAAUCAGCAGUGAAUUGACGGUACCUGCAAAGGAAGCACCGGCUAACUCCGUGCCAGCAGCCGCGGUAAUACGGAGGGUGCGAGCGUUAAUCGGAAUUACUGGGCGUAAAGCGCUCGUAGGCGGUAUGUCAAGUCAAGGGUGAAAUCCCCGCGCUCAACGUGGGAACUGCCUUUGAAACUGGCAGACUGGAGUGUGUGAGAGGUAGGUGGAAUUCCAGGUGUAGGGGUGAAAUGCGUAGAUAUCUUGAAGAACAUCGAUGGCGAAGGCGGCUAUCUGGCACAUAACUGACGCUGAGGAGCGAAAGCGUGGGUAGCAAACAGGAUUAGAUACCCCAGUAGUC